Molecule: ribosomal RNA, 734 nt
Filed under: uncultured Paracoccus sp.
Lineage: Bacteria; Pseudomonadati; Pseudomonadota; Alphaproteobacteria; Rhodobacterales; Paracoccaceae
Description: bacterial SSU rRNA
Rfam family: Bacterial small subunit ribosomal RNA
Source: RNAcentral
GAUGAACGCUGACAGAAUGCUUAACACAUGCAAGUCUACUUGAAUUUGGGUUUUUAACUUAGGUUUGGGUGGCGGACGGGUGAGUAACGCGUAAAGAACUUGCCUCACAGCUAGGGACAACAUUUAGAAAUGAAUGCUAAUACCUAAUAUUAUGAUAAUAGGGCAUCCUAUAAUUAUGAAAGCUAUAUGCGCUGUGGGAGAGCUUUGCGUCCCAUUAGCUAGUUGGAGAGGUAACGGCUCACCAAGGCGAUGAUGGGUAGCCGGCCUGAGAGGGUGAACGGCCACAUUGGAACUGAGACACGGUCCAAACUCCUACGGGAGGCAGCAGUGGGGAAUAUUGCACAAUGGGGGGAACCCUGAUGCAGCAACGCCGCGUGAGUGAAGAAGGCAUUCGUGUCGUAAAACUCUGUAGUAGGGGAAGAAAGAAAUGACAGUACCCUAAAAGAAAGCCCCGGCUAACUACGUGCCAGCAGCCGCGGUAAUACGUAGGGGGCAAGCGUUAUCCGGAAUAACUGGGCGUAAAGGGUGCGCAGGUGGUUUAACAAGUUAGUGGUGAAAGGCAUAGGCUCAACCAAUGUAAGCCAUUAAAACUGUUUAACUUGAGUGCAGGAGAGGAAAGCGGAAUUCCUAGUGUAGCGGUGAAAUGCGUAGAUAUUAGGAGGAAUACCAGUGGCGAAGGCGACUUUCUGGACUGCAACUGACACUGAGGCACGAAAGCGUGGGGAGCAAACAGG